CCUAAGGGGUGGAACUGGCAGACUAGAGAGCAGUAGGGGUAGCAGGAAUUCCCAGUGUAGCGGUGAAAUGCGUAGAAGAUUGGGAAAGAACAUCGGUGGCGAAAGCGUGCUACUGGGCUGUAUCUGACACUCAGGGACGAAAGCUAGGGGAAGCGAAAGGGAUUAGAUACCCCUGUAGUCCUAGCCGUAAACGAUGGAUACUAGGCGUGGCUUGUAUCGACCCGAGCCGUGCG
This 233-nucleotide ribosomal RNA is filed under the name Microcystis sp. DK104-CH. RNAcentral describes it as "partial 16S ribosomal RNA". It matches the Rfam family "Bacterial small subunit ribosomal RNA", at positions 619 to 847 of the family's 1533-position model. Lineage: Bacteria; Bacillati; Cyanobacteriota; Cyanophyceae; Chroococcales; Microcystaceae. The record is from RNAcentral.